GCGGGGGUACCCAAGCCAGGUCUAAAUAGAAAGGGUCAGAACGCCCAAUCCUCUGGCGUAGGCCGUCGUGGGUUCAAAUCCCACCCCCCGCACCA
RNAcentral lists this transfer RNA (95 nucleotides) under Candidatus Bathyarchaeota archaeon. RNAcentral describes it as "tRNA-Gly". It matches the Rfam family "tRNA". Rfam says of the family: Transfer RNA (tRNA) molecules are approximately 80 nucleotides in length. Their secondary structure includes four short double-helical elements and three loops (D, anti-codon, and T loops). Further hydrogen bonds mediate the characteristic L-shaped molecular structure. tRNAs have two regions of fundamental functional importance: the anti-codon, which is responsible for specific mRNA codon recognition, and the 3' end, to which the tRNAs corresponding amino acid is attached (by aminoacyl-tRNA synthetases). tRNAs cope with the degeneracy of the genetic code in two manners: having more than one tRNA (with a specific anti-codon) for a particular amino acid; and 'wobble' base-pairing, i.e. permitting non-standard base-pairing at the 3rd anti-codon position. The record is from RNAcentral. Lineage: Archaea; Thermoproteati; Candidatus Bathyarchaeota.